Non-coding RNA from Prunus avium (sweet cherry), 665 nucleotides. The record is from RefSeq and is a predicted model, not a curated record. NCBI's taxonomy places the organism in Eukaryota, Viridiplantae, Streptophyta, Magnoliopsida, Rosales, Rosaceae.
UCUCUCACAUAUUCAACAGAUCCCACCCAAAAGCAAAAGCGCUCAACUUUUCUCUCUCUACCUCUCUACCUCUCUACAGUCUCUCUCUCUAGAAUGCAAAACAUUGCUUCUUCUUAGUUCGUCCUUAUCUUUUUGAUUUUCCAGCCUCACCAAACCCAAUGAUACCCAUUUCCACCGCUUCAAUCUGAGGAGGAGCGUUUUCAUUUAUUUUCCUCUUCUUUUUCGUUUGUUUAAAAUGAUGAGCUUUUUUGGGUUUUGGGUUUUUUCUUUGAAGCCCUGCUGAGUCUUCUUCCUUCUCAAGAGAUCUGAAGCUUGGGUUUCUCCGCCGCUACGAAGGUUCCUGGAACUUUUGAAUUAAUUCAAAAACAGUUAAUCUUAUUCUAUCCAACCGUUCAACUUCAAUCUUUGCCAUUUGGGUCUCUCUGUUUCUGAACCCACAAGAUGCAGAGACCACCCCCAGAAGACUUUGCUUUGAAGGAGACCAAACCCCACCUCGGUGGGGGGAGGAUCUCUGGUGAUAAGCUCACGAGCACCUAUGACCUCGUUGAGCAGAUGCAGUAUCUCUAUGUCCGGGUUGUCAAGGCAAAGGACUUGCCCGCGAAAGAUGUUACUGGUAGUUGUGACCCUUAUGUUGAAGUUAGGCUUGGAAAUUACAAGGGUGCAAC